RNAcentral lists this ribosomal RNA (276 nucleotides) under uncultured bacterium. RNAcentral's name for it is "partial 16S ribosomal RNA". It matches the Rfam family "Bacterial small subunit ribosomal RNA", at positions 82 to 354 of the family's 1533-position model. The record is from RNAcentral.
CUUCCGCCGGCGACCGGCGCACGGGUGAGUAACACGUAUGCGACCUGCCCCCCGCAGGGGGAUAACCGGGAGAAAUCCCGACUAAUACCGCGUAACGCCGCGGACCUGCAUGGGUCUGCGGCCAAAGGAAGCGAUUCCGGCGGGGGAUGGGCAUGCGGCGCAUUAGCUAGUCGGCGGGGUAACGGCCCACCGAGGCGACGAUGCGUAGGGGUUCUGAGAGGAAGGUCCCCCACACUGGUACUGAGACACGGACCAGACUCCUACGGGAGGCAGCAG